GGGGCAAUAGCUCAGUCGGUUAGAGCAGCGGACUCAUAACCCGUAGGUCGCAGGUUCAAAUCCUGCUUGCCCCA
Molecule: transfer RNA, 74 nt
Filed under: Chlamydiia bacterium
Lineage: Bacteria; Pseudomonadati; Chlamydiota; Chlamydiia
Description: tRNA-Ile
Rfam family: tRNA
About the family: Transfer RNA (tRNA) molecules are approximately 80 nucleotides in length. Their secondary structure includes four short double-helical elements and three loops (D, anti-codon, and T loops). Further hydrogen bonds mediate the characteristic L-shaped molecular structure. tRNAs have two regions of fundamental functional importance: the anti-codon, which is responsible for specific mRNA codon recognition, and the 3' end, to which the tRNAs corresponding amino acid is attached (by aminoacyl-tRNA synthetases). tRNAs cope with the degeneracy of the genetic code in two manners: having more than one tRNA (with a specific anti-codon) for a particular amino acid; and 'wobble' base-pairing, i.e. permitting non-standard base-pairing at the 3rd anti-codon position.
Source: RNAcentral